This is a long non-coding RNA of Arachis duranensis, 1398 nucleotides long. RefSeq lists it as uncharacterized. The transcript is spliced from 2 exons. NCBI's taxonomy places the organism in Eukaryota, Viridiplantae, Streptophyta, Magnoliopsida, Fabales, Fabaceae. The record is from RefSeq and is a predicted model, not a curated record.
ACCAAAAAACAUGUUUCAAGCUAACAUGGAUCAGUCUCGGCGCCUCCAGCGCCAGAAAUACCGCAGGGCUCGCCUCCCUCCUAUCCUCAUCCUUUGGUAUUCUGAAGCACACCUCCAUUAUGCAGAUUCCUGCUUCUUCGGUUCAACGCUCCAUCUCUGGUUUUCUUGACUACCCAACCACAUCAGAUCAGGUAGUAUUGAAAUCUGGGGUCUCUAGCAAGGACUUCAACAACCAAAACCCUCAAACACUAAGCUAUUUGCUUUUUCCUCUUCUCGGAUGAUGUUCUUUAUUUGUUGCGGAGGAUCACGUGUCCACGAUCGAUUAAGUCCUUCUCCAUCUGCCAAUUUAGCCACUAUUUUGUGCCAUAAUUAAUGCCUCUCUGAAAGCAUAGGCCUCGGCUGACAAACUGGAAUUGGCUAUGAUUUUUGUUGCUGAACUAGUUAUCACUGACCCCUUCCAAUCCCUUACAACAGCUGCGGUUACUGCUCUUCCCGUCUGGCUGCAAAAAAGAUGCAUCAAUGUUAAUUUUCAACCAAUCUUUGGGAGGCGAUGAUAAACCACUAUUUAUGAUUCAUAUUGUGUUUAAUUGUGUGGUUUUAUCAAGUCUUUGCCCACUUAUUCAUAUGAUUUGCAUGUAACUACAACUCCUUCCUAAAAAUACUCUAUGAUUGAAAAUAUGCUUCUUUGGCUUUUAUUUUCUUUUAUUUAAUCCUCUCUUAUUACUAUUAGAUGCCUUGAUAUGUGUGUUAAGUGAUUUCAGGAAUUACAGGGCAGGAAUGGCUUAAAGGAUGGAAAGGAAGCAUGCAAAAAAUGGAAGGAACACAAAGAAUUAAGGAGAUAACCAGCGAGAAGUCACGCGUUCGCAUGGCUGACGCGACCGCGCGAAAUGGAAGAAACAACAGUGACGCGCUCGCGUGCCUGACGCAACCGCGCGGAUUGGAAGCUGCAUGAACGACGCGAAUGCGUGGACGACGCGCACGCGUGGUACGAGAAACACCGAGUGACGCGAACGCGUGGACGACGUGGCCGCGUGACGUGCGCGAUCUGUAGAAUUUCAGAAGUCGCUGGCAGAGUUUCUGGGCCGGAUUUCAACCCAGUUUUCGGCCCAGAAACACAGAUUAGAGCCAGAGAACAUGCAGAGACAGAGGAGAACAUUUAUUCCGCAUAAUUUUUAGUUUUUAGAUAUGAAUUUACUCCUCCCCUAGGUUUACUCACUUGAACAUUCAUAAUUAGGAUUUUGAAGAUUUGGCUUUAGCUUUUGAGAAGAGUCUACCUCCGGUACUAGUCAUUAUAUUCUGUUAUUUACUUUCCAUUUAUUCUUCCAUAUUCUUAAUGCCCUUAGAAUUGACAUUGGAUUAUUUUCACAAGUUAAUAAUAUAGACUAUUUUCAUUUUCAA